Molecule: ribosomal RNA, 764 nt
Filed under: uncultured Prevotella sp.
Lineage: Bacteria; Pseudomonadati; Bacteroidota; Bacteroidia; Bacteroidales; Prevotellaceae
Description: bacterial SSU rRNA
Rfam family: Bacterial small subunit ribosomal RNA
Source: RNAcentral
GAUGAACGCUAGCUACAGGCUUAACACAUGCAAGUCGCGGGGCAUCAUGGAGGUUGCUUGCAAUUUCUGAUGGCGACCGGCGCACGGGUGAGUAACGCGUAUCCAACCUUCCCAUUACUACGGCAUACCCCGUUGAAAGGCGGCCUAAUUCCGUAUGCAGUCCGAAGCAGUCAUCUAAUUUGGACGAAAGGUAUAUUCUAUCGGUAAUGGAUGGGGAUGCGUCCGAUUAGCCAGCCGGCGGGGUAACGGCCCACCGGGGCAUUGAUCGGUAGGGGUUCUGAGAGGAAGGUCCCCCACACUGGAACUGAGACACGGUCCAGACUCCUACGGGAGGCAGCAGUGAGGAAUAUUGGUCAAUGGGCGUAAGCCUGAACCAGCCAAGUAGCGUGCAGGAUGACGGCCCUAUGGGUUGUAAACUGCUUUUAUGCGGGGAUAAAGUUGGGGACGUGUCCCUUUUUGCAGGUACCGCAUGAAUAAGGACCGGCUAAUUCCGUGCCAGCAGCCGCGGUAAUACGGAAGGUCCGGGCGUUAUCCGGAUUUAUUGGGUUUAAAGGGAGCGUAGGCAGUUUUUUAAGCGUGCUGUGAAAUGUACCGGCUCAACCGGUGAUGUGCAGCGCGAACUGGGAAUCUUGAGUACGCAGUAAGCAGGCGGAAUUCGUGGUGUAGCGGUGAAAUGCUUAGAUAUGACGAAGAACUCCGAUUGCGAAGGCAGCUUGCGGGAGCACAACUGACGCUGAAGCUCGAAAGUGCGGGUAUCGAACAGG